GACGAACGCUGGCGGCGUGCUUAACACAUGCAAGUCGAACGGAAAGGCCCUGCUUUUGUGGGGUGCUCGAGUGGCGAACGGGUGAGUAACACGUGAGUAACCUGCCCUUGACUUUGGGAUAACUUCAGGAAACUGGGGCUAAUACCGGAUAGGAGCUCCUGCUGCAUGGUGGGGGUUGGAAAGUUUCGGCGGAUGGGGAUGGACUCGCGGGUUAUCAGCUUGUUGGUGGGGUAGUGGCUUACCAAGGCUUUGACGGGUAGCCGGCCUGAGAGGGUGAACGGCCACAUUGGGACUGAGAGACGGCGCAGACUCCUACGGGAGGCAGCAGUGGGGAAUAUUGCACAAUGGGCGGAAGCCUGAUGCAGCGACGCCGCGUGCGGGAUGACGGCCUUCGGGUGGUAAACCGCUUUCGCCUGUGACGAAGCGAGAGUGACGGUAAUGGGUAAAGAAGCACCGGCUAACUACGUG
RNAcentral lists this ribosomal RNA (468 nucleotides) under uncultured bacterium. Its description in RNAcentral is "partial 16S ribosomal RNA". It matches the Rfam family "Bacterial small subunit ribosomal RNA", at positions 28 to 507 of the family's 1533-position model. The record is from RNAcentral.